This 491-nucleotide ribosomal RNA is filed under the name uncultured bacterium. RNAcentral's name for it is "partial 16S ribosomal RNA". It matches the Rfam family "Bacterial small subunit ribosomal RNA", at positions 29 to 507 of the family's 1533-position model. The record is from RNAcentral.
AGUGAACGCUGGCGGUAGGCCUAACACAUGCAAGUCGAACGGCAGCACAGUAAGAGCUUGCUCUUACGGGUGGCGAGUGGCGGACGGGUGAGGAAUACAUCGGAAUCUACUUUUUCGUGGGGGAUAACGUAGGGAAACUUACGCUAAUACCGCAUACGACCUACGGGUGAAAGCAGGGGAUCUUCGGACCUUGCGCGAUUGAAUGAGCCGAUGUCGGAUUAGCUAGUUGGCGGGGUAAAGGCCCACCAAGGCGACGAUCCGUAGCUGGUCUGAGAGGAUGAUCAGCCACACUGGAACUUAGACACGGUCCAGACUCCUACGGGAGGCAGCAGUGGGGAAUAUUGGACAAUGGGCGCAAGCCUGAUCCAGCCAUACCGCGUGGGUGAAGAAGGCCUUCGGGUUGUAAAGCCCUUUUGUUGGAAAGAAAAGCAGCAGGUUAAUACCCCGCUGUUCUGACGGUACCCAAAGAAUAAGCACCGGCUAACUUCGUG